This 253-nucleotide ribosomal RNA is filed under the name uncultured bacterium. RNAcentral's name for it is "partial 16S ribosomal RNA". It matches the Rfam family "Archaeal small subunit ribosomal RNA", at positions 474 to 727 of the family's 1478-position model. The record is from RNAcentral.
UACCAGCACCCCGAGUGGUCGGGACGAUUAUUGGGCCUAAAGCAUCCGUAGCCGGUUCUACAAGUCUUCCGUUAAAUCCAACUGCUCAACAGGUGGGCUGCGGAGGAUACUACAGAGCUAGGAGGCAGGAGAGGCAAGCGGUACUUAGUGGGUAGGGGUAAAAUCCGUUGAUCCAUUGAAGACCACCAGUGGCGAAGGCGGCUUGCCAGAACGCACUCGACGGUGAGGGAUGAAAGCUGGGGGAGCAAACCGG